UUGACGGGGAGCACCACAACGGGUGGAGCUUGCGGUUUAAUUUGGAUUCAACGCCGGAAAUCUUACCGGGACCGACAGCAAUAUGAAGGCCAGGCUGAAGACUUUGCCGGAUUAGCUGAGAGGUGGUGCAUGGCCGUCGUCAGUUCGUACUGUGAAGCAUCCUGUUAAGUCAGGCAACGAGCGAGACCCACGCCCACAGUUGCCAGCGUACUCUCUGGAGUGACGGGUACACUGUGGGACCGCCGCUGCUAAAGCGGAGGAAGGAAUGGGCAACGGUAGGCCAGUAUGCCCCGAAUAUCCCGGGCUACACGCGAGCUACAAUGGUUGGUACAAUGGGUAUCUACCCCGAAAGGGGACGGGAAUCUCCUAAAACCAAUCUUAGUUCGGAUUGAGGGCUGCAACUCGCCCUCAUGAAGCUGGAAUCCGUAGUAAUCGCGUUUCAACAGAACGCGGUGAAUACGUCCCUGCUCCUU
This 473-nucleotide ribosomal RNA is filed under the name uncultured Methanosaeta sp. RNAcentral describes it as "bacterial SSU rRNA". It matches the Rfam family "Archaeal small subunit ribosomal RNA", at positions 871 to 1337 of the family's 1478-position model. Lineage: Archaea; Methanobacteriati; Methanobacteriota; Methanomicrobia; Methanotrichales; Methanotrichaceae. The record is from RNAcentral.